GCAGCACCUGACUGAACGCGCGCCGCCCUCCCAUGUUUCAAAGCUUCAAAGCAACACUUUUGCUCGCAUUUGCUUCUCACAGAAGGCCCGUGAAACUUCUGUUUCGUGGUUGCGCGUCUGCUGCGUCUGCCAUGCCAACAGCAACUUGUAUACAGUCCCUCCCUACGGCAGCUUCUGUCACCACUCCCGUCACGAAGUCGUUAAUCUAAAGCUACGGCAGACAAAGCGCUCGAUAACAACACGCCACAACCAGGCUACGAUAGAGGUA
Molecule: long non-coding RNA, 268 nt
Organism: Ornithodoros turicata
Lineage: Eukaryota; Metazoa; Arthropoda; Arachnida; Ixodida; Argasidae
Exons: 4
Source: RefSeq, a predicted model, not a curated record